Molecule: RNase P RNA, 344 nt
Filed under: uncultured Eubacterium sp.
Lineage: Bacteria; Bacillati; Bacillota; Clostridia; Eubacteriales; Eubacteriaceae
Description: Bacterial RNase P class A
Rfam family: Bacterial RNase P class A
About the family: Ribonuclease P (RNase P) is a ubiquitous endoribonuclease, found in archaea, bacteria and eukarya as well as chloroplasts and mitochondria. Its best characterised activity is the generation of mature 5'-ends of tRNAs by cleaving the 5'-leader elements of precursor-tRNAs.
Source: RNAcentral
GUAAGGUGGAUAAUCGCAGCUGCUAUUGGCGAAAGUACGCAGGUGAGGAAAGUCCGGGCUUCAUAGGGCAGGAUGCUGGCUAACGGCCAGUGGAGGUGACUCCCAGGAAAGUGCAACAGAAAUAAAACCGCCACUUUGUGUGGUAAGGAUGAAAUGGUGGUGUAAGAGACCACCGCCAUGUUGGUGACAACAUGGGUCAGUGUAAACCCCAUUCGAAGCAAGACUGAACAGAAAACGUUGAGGUUGCCCGCCGAGUUUUCGGGUAGGUCGCUUGAGCACAUUGGUAACGGUGUGCCUAGAUAGAUGAUUAUCCCAGACAUAACCCGGCUUAUAGCCUUACUCAU